Molecule: ribosomal RNA, 495 nt
Filed under: uncultured bacterium
Lineage: Bacteria
Description: partial 16S ribosomal RNA
Rfam family: Bacterial small subunit ribosomal RNA
Source: RNAcentral
GACGAACGCUGGCGGCGUGCCUAAUACAUGCAAGUAGAACGCUGAAGGAGGAGCUUGCUUCUCUGGAUGAGUUGCGAACGGGUGAGUAACGCGUAGGUAACCUGCCUGGUAGCGGGGGAUAACUAUUGGAAACGAUAGCUAAUACCGCAUAAUAGUAGAUGUUGCAUGACAUUUACUUAAAAGGUGCAAUUGCAUCACUACCAGAUGGACCUGCGUUGUAUUAGCUAGUUGGUGGGGUAACGGCUCACCAAGGCGACGAUACAUAGCCGACCUGAGAGGGUGAUCGGCCACACUGGGACUGAGACACGGCCCAGACUCCUACGGGAGGCAGCAGUAGGGAAUCUUCGGCAAUGGACGAAAGUCUGACCGAGCAACGCCGCGGGAGUGAAGAAGGUUUUCGGAUCGUAAAGCUCUGUUGUAAGAGAAGAACGAGUGUGAGAGUGGAAAGUUCACACUGUGACGGUAGCUUACCAGAAAGGGACGGCUAACUACGUG